UCCUCAGAGAGCUUCUGCCUCGUUCCUGACAGAUGGACCUACUCUGUAAUUAUUAGCUUUCUAGCCUGCACCUGGGCCCAAUUACAGUCAAGAUGACUACAGCUGGCACUAGGUAUCAGCA
Molecule: long non-coding RNA, 121 nt
Organism: Nothoprocta perdicaria
Lineage: Eukaryota; Metazoa; Chordata; Aves; Tinamiformes; Tinamidae
Exons: 2
Source: RefSeq, a predicted model, not a curated record